Molecule: long non-coding RNA, 313 nt
Organism: Bos taurus (domestic cattle)
Lineage: Eukaryota; Metazoa; Chordata; Mammalia; Artiodactyla; Bovidae
Source: Ensembl
GUUCGAGCUGCUGUGAACCAUGAUGUCAGGAAGAAGAAUAGCUCCUGCUGAAUGGUUCUGCUAGACAUUUGGUCACCUUGUUACGGAAGCUCAAGACUUGACUCUGCCGCAAUGUUCAAAUGUCUGGAUGCACAAACAAAAAGUAUUCUGGAGAAUCAGUUCUGAUGUUCGAGAGCAUCGAAAAACAUCUCAAGGGGUGAGCCUUCUCAUUCCUUUCCUGCAUUCCCCAGUAUAACAGCUGGAGGAAAUUUGGACUGGGUUCCAGACCCUGGAGGGGCAAUUUUAGCUCAAAUUGCUUGGAGCUACCUACAGC